GGCAACUUGGCUGAGUGGUUAUAGCGAUAGACUAGAAUAACUCAGACAAUCAGGCAAAAACUUGAUAUGUCUAUUCUAGAUUCAUCUAUUUCCUUCGGGAGCGUAGGUUCAAAUCCUGCAGUUGUCG
Molecule: non-coding RNA, 127 nt
Organism: Cadophora sp. MPI-SDFR-AT-0126
Lineage: Eukaryota; Fungi; Ascomycota; Leotiomycetes; Helotiales; Ploettnerulaceae
Source: the annotation of a GenBank genome assembly